RNAcentral lists this transfer RNA (72 nucleotides) under Camelus bactrianus (Bactrian camel). It matches the Rfam family "tRNA". From Rfam's summary of the family: Transfer RNA (tRNA) molecules are approximately 80 nucleotides in length. Their secondary structure includes four short double-helical elements and three loops (D, anti-codon, and T loops). Lineage: Eukaryota; Metazoa; Chordata; Mammalia; Artiodactyla; Camelidae. RNAcentral also lists the same sequence under 2 other names. The record is from Rfam by way of RNAcentral.
GAGGGUAUAGCUCAGUGGUAGAGUGCUUGCUUAGCAUGCACGAGGUCCUGGGUUCAAUUUCUAGUACUGCCA